AUGGGGAUCAGAAUCUUGAUUGGGCUCGGGGCGGCCGUGACCCUGCUGGAGUCCAGGGGGGACCUCCAGCCCCCCGGGGGGUCCCUGCGCCUCCUCUGCCACAGCUCCGUCUUCGAUUUCGGGAGUUACUCCAUGUACUGGGUCCGCCAGAGACCUGGGCAGGCGCUGGAGUGGCUCGCGGGGUUCAGCAGCAGUGGCAGCACCUGGUACGCGCCGUCGUUCAAGGGCCGGUUCACGAUCUCCAGGGACAACGGGCAGAGCUCGGUGACGCUGACCAUGAGCAGCCUCAAGGACGAGGAUUCCGGAUCCUAUUUCUGCGCCAAAAAUGCUGGUGCUGCUCCUAAUCAUGCAUAUGCUAUUGUCCCCAUCCCCAUCACUUUGUCCCCCUGUGCCCGUGCCCCAGCCCCUUCCCUGCAGCCCCUGGCUCCAUUCCUGCCCCUCUGUCCCACCCUGGCGCUGCUCUGGCCCCAAAUCGCAGCUCCUGGCCCCAAAUCAGGGCCGGGGGCACCCUGA
Motacilla alba alba is the source of this 513-nucleotide non-coding RNA. Lineage: Eukaryota; Metazoa; Chordata; Aves; Passeriformes; Motacillidae. The record is from the annotation of a RefSeq genome assembly.